AAACUCAUAAGGGAGCUACCAUUUGAUUUUUAUGGGGGGGCUAGGAUGAAAUUUGAAAAAAAUAGGCAGGACAGGAGUUUUGAGUGAAAAAAAAGGCAGGAUGAGACGCUUGCAAAAAAAAAAGUCAGGACGACAAUUUAGGUAAAAAAAAGUCAGGAUAAACUAAAAAAAAAAAAGGCAGGACCGAACAGAGUGAAAAAUAAAAAGGCAGGACAGAGAUUACAGCUAAAAAAAAAAAAUGCAGGACAAAAUUUUUCAUCCUAGCCCCCCAUAAAAAUCAAAUGGUAGCUCCCUAA
This 296-nucleotide long non-coding RNA is filed under the name Mytilus galloprovincialis (Mediterranean mussel). Lineage: Eukaryota; Metazoa; Mollusca; Bivalvia; Mytilida; Mytilidae. The record is from RNAcentral.